UACGAAGGGGGCUAGCGUUGCUCGGAAUCACUGGGCGUAAAGGCGCGUAGGCGGCCAUUCAAGUCAGAGGUGAAAGCCCAAGGCUCAACCUUGGAACUGCCUUUGAUACUGUUUGGCUUGAGACCGGUAGAGGUAAGUGGAACUGCGAGUGUAGAGGUGAAAUUCGUAGAUAUUCGCAAGAACACCAGUGGCGAAGGCGGCUUACUGGACCGGUUCUGACGCUGAGGCGCGAAAGCGUGGGGAGCAAACAGG
This 252-nucleotide ribosomal RNA is filed under the name uncultured bacterium. Its description in RNAcentral is "partial 16S ribosomal RNA". It matches the Rfam family "Bacterial small subunit ribosomal RNA", at positions 524 to 776 of the family's 1533-position model. The record is from RNAcentral.